This is a non-coding RNA of Pelobates cultripes (western spadefoot toad), 282 nucleotides long. The record is from the annotation of a GenBank genome assembly. Lineage: Eukaryota; Metazoa; Chordata; Amphibia; Anura; Pelobatidae.
AUUCUUACGAAUGUACAUUCGGGACGAAACAAAUCGCAUGUGCCUAUUGCCCACCGUGUUGCAGCUCAGUUCAGGGUUUUGGCAAUCUUCUUAUAGCCUAGGCCAUCUUUAUGUAGAGCAACAAUAAUUUUUUUCAGAUCUUCAGAGAGUUCUUUGCCAUGAGGGGCCAUGUUGAACUUCCAGUGACAAGUAUGAGAGAGUGUGAGAGCGAUAACACCAAAUUUAACACACCUGCUCCCUAUUCACACCUGAGAUCUUGUAACACUAAUGAGUCAUAUGACU